RNAcentral lists this non-coding RNA (29 nucleotides) under Mus musculus (house mouse). The record is from RNAcentral. RNAcentral also lists the same sequence under 1 other name. Lineage: Eukaryota; Metazoa; Chordata; Mammalia; Rodentia; Muridae.
UUUUAAAUGCUGAGGUAGCUGCACUGCUC